Long non-coding RNA from Gopherus flavomarginatus (Mexican gopher tortoise), 924 nucleotides. RefSeq lists it as uncharacterized. NCBI's taxonomy places the organism in Eukaryota, Metazoa, Chordata, Testudines, Testudinidae. The transcript is spliced from 4 exons. The record is from RefSeq and is a predicted model, not a curated record.
UGUCCCCAAGAACCAUGCAGGCCCAUUCCCCCCAGAUCACCCCUCUCCUACCCUCCCAGGGGCAGAGCAGGUAAGCGAGGGUUUUCCACAAAGGAAAGGUGUGAGGUUUGCUACAGCUGCCUCUACCCACAAACGCCCCACGGACCGUUAUUAACAAGGAGUCUGCUUCAGGCAGAGACCACACCUGGGAAACCGCCUAAAGGGCCAGAGAUUGGACAGGAUCCUGAGCAAGUGAAUAUAGAGGCAGGCCCAUGGACAUCAAAACUGGGCCUUCAGGCCCCAACAAUCCCUGUUUCUCCCUCUGGCUCCCUGCAAUGAAUCCAGCUGCCUGCAGGAGGCUUGUCCUGGGCACCUUCAGGGCACAAUGCUCUCAGUGAGUAUUGGCAGUGGCAGCCUUUCCAAAACAAGCUGUCACUCCCUGUCAACUGUGUGCACGUGAUGGGGGAGGAGCAGUGAUAAAAGUGGGACCCGGGCGGGGGGGCUGGAUCAUCCACCACGGCGCACAGGAUCAGGCUGGAAUGCAGGCUGGAUGUUUUGUUGGCGUAGCCUUCCAGAGUUGAAGACAACUGUACGAGCCACGUCUGAGAGCACGCAGAGAGAGUGGGACUGCAGAUUUAGCUGUGUGGGGUGGGGGCCGCUGAAAGGGGGUGUCGGACAAGUGUAGAACCGAACCCUGUUCAGGAGGCUUUUAGGUGGAGUUUGUAGGAUGCCAGUCGCCAUCUGCUGGUACAUUGCAAUAAUUACAUUGUCACCAUUCAUCGGGGUUUGGGGAGAGCCGAGGAGAUGUUCCCCGGGAUGAUGGAGGUGAGGUAUUGUAGAUGGCCAAGUUGAGGUAUUGUUCCAGUAAGAAUGUUUGCUUUGUAAUGGUGCUGGGGCACUGUUAUGUUGUACAUUUAAGUGUUGGGGGCCCUAGAGUCCUCGCAU